UGGGGAAUCUUGCACAAUGGGGGAAACCCUGAUGCAGCGACGCCGCGUGAGCGAUGAAGGUUUUCGAAUCGUAAAGCUCUGUCCUAUGGGAAGAUAAUGACGGUACCAUAGGAGGAAGCCCCGGCUAACUACGUGCCAGCAGCCGCGGUAAUACGUAGGGGGCGAUCGUUGUCCGGAAUUACUGGGCGUAAAGGGUUCGCAGGCGGCAUGACAAGUCCGAUGUAAAAGGCGAAAGCUCAACUUUCGUAAGCAUCGGAAACUGUCAAGCUUGAGUGAAGGAGAGGCAAGUGGAAUUCCUAGUGUAGCGGUGGAAUGCGUAGAUAUUAGGAGGAAUACCGGUGGCGAAGGCGACUUGCUGGACUUCAACUGACGCUGAGGAACGAAAGCGUGGGUAGCAAACAGG
RNAcentral lists this ribosomal RNA (403 nucleotides) under bacterium. RNAcentral describes it as "partial 16S ribosomal RNA". It matches the Rfam family "Bacterial small subunit ribosomal RNA", at positions 355 to 776 of the family's 1533-position model. The record is from RNAcentral.